Molecule: small nucleolar RNA, 136 nt
Organism: Talpa occidentalis (Iberian mole)
Lineage: Eukaryota; Metazoa; Chordata; Mammalia; Eulipotyphla; Talpidae
Product: small nucleolar RNA SNORA70
Exons: 1
Source: RefSeq, a predicted model, not a curated record
CUGCAGCCAAUUAAGCUAACGAUGUUCUUUUUUUUCCAUGGGGCCUUGUGUGUAUUGCCUGCAAACGGCAGUCCCCUUGGUCAUGUUUGCAUCCUGUAGCUUGUAUUGGUUGCCCUCAGGAGAGCUGGAAACAACC